UCCGUAGGUGAACCUGCGGAGGGAUCAUUACACAAUAAAAUAUGAAGGCUGUACGCGGCUGUGCUCUCGGGCCAGUUUUGCGGAGGCUGAAUUAUUUAUUACCCUUGUCUUUUGCGCACUUGUUGUUUCCUGGGCGGGUUCGCCCGCCACCAGGACCACAUCAUAAACCUUUUUUAUGCAGUUGCAAUCAGCGUCAGUAUAACAAAUGUAAAUCAUUUACAACUUUCAACAACGGAUCUCUUGGUUCUGGCAUCGAUGAAGAACGCAGCGAAAUGCGAUACGUAGUGUGAAUUGCAGAAUUCAGUGAAUCAUCGAAUCUUUGAACGCACAUUGCGCCCUUUGGUAUUCCAAAGGGCAUGCCUGUUCGAGCGUCAUUUGUACCCUCAAGCUUUGCUUGGUGUUGGGCGUUUUUUGUCUUUGGUUGCCAAAGACUCGCCUUAAAAGGAUUGGCAGCCGGCCUACUGGUUUCGCAGCGCAGCACAUUUUUGCGCUUGCAAUCAGCAAAAGAGGACGGCAAUCCAUCAAGACUCCUUCUCACGUUUGACCUCGGAUCAGGUAGGGAUACCCGCUGAACUUAAGCAUAUCAAUAAGCGGAGGA
This 598-nucleotide ribosomal RNA is filed under the name Curvularia lunata. Its description in RNAcentral is "eukaryotic LSU rRNA". The stretch from base 221 to 374 matches the Rfam family "5.8S ribosomal RNA". The record is from RNAcentral. Lineage: Eukaryota; Fungi; Ascomycota; Dothideomycetes; Pleosporales; Pleosporaceae.